UGGGCUAUAGCCAAGCGGUAAGGCACAGCACUUUGACUGCUGCAUUCACCGGUCCGAAUCCGGUUAGCCCAG
Molecule: transfer RNA, 72 nt
Filed under: Butyrivibrio sp.
Lineage: Bacteria; Bacillati; Bacillota; Clostridia; Lachnospirales; Lachnospiraceae
Description: tRNA-Gln
Rfam family: tRNA
About the family: Transfer RNA (tRNA) molecules are approximately 80 nucleotides in length. Their secondary structure includes four short double-helical elements and three loops (D, anti-codon, and T loops).
Source: RNAcentral